Molecule: ribosomal RNA, 384 nt
Filed under: Escherichia coli
Lineage: Bacteria; Pseudomonadati; Pseudomonadota; Gammaproteobacteria; Enterobacterales; Enterobacteriaceae
Description: partial 23S ribosomal RNA
Rfam family: Bacterial large subunit ribosomal RNA
Source: RNAcentral
UGCGAAUGCUGACAUAAGUAACGAUAAUGCGGGUGAAAAACCCGCACGCCGGAAGACCAAGGGUUCCUGUCCAACGUUAAUCGGGGCAGGGUGAGUCGACCCCUAAGGCGAGGCUGAAAAGCGUAGUCGAUGGGAAACGGGUUAAUAUUCCCGUACUGGUGGUAACUGCGAUGGGGGAACGGAGAAGGCUAGGUUGUCCGGGCGACGGUCGUCCCGGUUCAAGCAGGUAGGCAGAGUGAUUAGGCAAAUCCGGUCACUUAAUGCUGAGAUGUGAUGACGAACCACCAAGGUGGUGAAGCAAUUGAUGCCCCGCUUCCAGGAAAAGCCUCUAAGCUUCAGGUUACCAACAAUCGUACCCCAAACCGACACAGGUGGUCAGGUAGA